UAUAAAGAAAGAAGAGGAAGAAGACGAAGAAUCAAAACU
RNAcentral lists this small RNA (39 nucleotides) under Arabidopsis thaliana (thale cress). RNAcentral describes it as "ATSL241610". The record is from RNAcentral. Lineage: Eukaryota; Viridiplantae; Streptophyta; Magnoliopsida; Brassicales; Brassicaceae.